This 253-nucleotide ribosomal RNA is filed under the name uncultured bacterium. Its description in RNAcentral is "partial 16S ribosomal RNA". It matches the Rfam family "Bacterial small subunit ribosomal RNA", at positions 524 to 776 of the family's 1533-position model. The record is from RNAcentral.
UACAGAGGUCUCAAGCGUUGUUCGGAAUCACUGGGCGUAAAGGGUGCGUAGGUGGCGUGGUAAGUCAGAUGUGAAAGCCCAGGGCUCAACCCUGGAACCGCAUCCGAUACUGCCAUGCUAGAGAACUGAAGAGGAGUGUAGAAUUCUCGGUGUAGCAGUGAAAUGCGUAGAUAUCGAGAGGAAUACCAACGGCGAAGGCAGCACUCUGGGCAGUUUCUGACACUGAGGCACGAAGGCUAGGGGAGCAAACGGG